RNAcentral lists this transfer RNA (76 nucleotides) under Ruminococcus sp. Its description in RNAcentral is "tRNA-Glu". It matches the Rfam family "tRNA". From Rfam's summary of the family: Transfer RNA (tRNA) molecules are approximately 80 nucleotides in length. Their secondary structure includes four short double-helical elements and three loops (D, anti-codon, and T loops). Lineage: Bacteria; Bacillati; Bacillota; Clostridia; Eubacteriales; Oscillospiraceae. The record is from RNAcentral. RNAcentral also lists the same sequence under 4 other names.
GGCUCACUGGUCAAACGGUUAAGACGCCGCCUUCUCAGGGCGGAAUUGCAUGGUUCAAAUCCUGCGUGAGUCACCA